Molecule: non-coding RNA, 81 nt
Filed under: unclassified sequences
Description: Proteo-phage-1 RNA
Rfam family: Proteo-phage-1 RNA
Source: Rfam by way of RNAcentral
CCACAGCCAGGUUGGCCCUUCGGGGGAUGCCUGGACGCUGAUAAGCCAGUAGUGCAGCGCUACGGGAAAAUACCGGCAGCC